GAGGAAUAUUGCGCAAUGGGGGAAACCCUGACGCAGCGACGCCGCGUGAGUGAGGAAGGUUUUCGGAUCGUAAAGCUCUGUCAGAAGGGAAGAAAUGCUAGGCAGUUAAUACCUG
RNAcentral lists this ribosomal RNA (115 nucleotides) under uncultured bacterium. Its description in RNAcentral is "partial 16S ribosomal RNA". It matches the Rfam family "Bacterial small subunit ribosomal RNA", at positions 356 to 470 of the family's 1533-position model. The record is from RNAcentral.